RNAcentral lists this transfer RNA (66 nucleotides) under unidentified. RNAcentral's name for it is "Cupuladria biporosa tRNA-Thr". The record is from RNAcentral.
GCAAGUAAAGCUUUAAUUAGAAGCUGUAAUUUUGUAAAUUACUGAUCGUUUAUUAACGUAUUUGCU